GUGAGGAAUUUUCCGCAAUGGGCGAAAGCCUGACGGAGCAAUGCCGCGUGAAGGACGAAGGCCUAUGGGUUGUAAACUUCUUUUCUCAGAAAAGAAUUAUGACGGUAUCUGAGGAAUAAGCAUCGGCUAACUCUGUGCCAGCAGCCGCGGUAAGACAGAGGAUGCAAGCGUUAUCCGGAAUGAUUGGGCGUAAAGCGUCUGUAGGUUGUUUAAAAAGUAUUCUGUCAAAGAUUAGGGCUUAACCCUAGAUAGGCAGAAUAAACUUUUAAGCUAGAGUUUGGUAGAGGCAGAGGGAAUUCCCGGUGGAGCGGUGAAAUGCGUAGAUAUCGGGAGGAACACCAAAGGCGAAGGCACUCUGCUGGGCCAAUACUAACACUGAGAGACGAAAGCGAGGGGAGCAAAUGGGAUUAGAAACCCGUGUAGUCC
This 426-nucleotide ribosomal RNA is filed under the name uncultured bacterium. RNAcentral's name for it is "bacterial SSU rRNA". It matches the Rfam family "Bacterial small subunit ribosomal RNA", at positions 354 to 796 of the family's 1533-position model. The record is from RNAcentral.